RNAcentral lists this non-coding RNA (21 nucleotides) under Arabidopsis thaliana (thale cress). The record is from RNAcentral. Lineage: Eukaryota; Viridiplantae; Streptophyta; Magnoliopsida; Brassicales; Brassicaceae.
UCAUCAAUAAAUAUGCAUUGC